GACACCUCUUAGGUCUAAAUAUGAGGAUGAGAAAGUCACUGUUUUUGAAGGGGAUAUAGAAAGUUAGUGUUUCUGAAGAGAAUAUAGAAAGUCAUAGGAGGGUCACGAUGUGACUCCGCGACAGAGCAGAGCCUACAUGGUUUUCUGGUUGAUACACACGCUUGGUUUCCAGAAAUGGGGUAGAGUAGGAAGCAAAAUCCUCUAUCUUUUCAGGCAGACCCUUCCUUCUCAUCUCUGAAGACUCUUGUUUUAUGGAGAGGAAUCCUGCAUGUGGGGCACAGAGAAAUCUGGGUCUAGUUUCGUACAUACUGGAGCUUCUUCCUGGGUUCCGGAAUUAGAUUGGCCUUUAGGUUAGUUUUGGCUGCUGGUUUUGGAGUUUUGGAGUUUUAGAGCUUUGGAGUUUUGCUGGUUUUGGAGUUUUGGAGUUUUGGCGUUUCCCAGUGCCAUUAUAGUCUUUGAGUGGGAAGUCAGGAGAGGCUGCCCCGGGUGGGUGAUUACUGGCUCAACAGUAUUUUCAGCGGAGUGCUUGACUUAUUUUUUCUAAAUUAGGAUUUCUCAGGCAGCUACUUGUUUAUCACUAGAUCACUCCUCCUUCCAAAGCCAGCAAUAGUAUUGCUGAGAUGCUCCAUGAUUUCAGCUUUCCUUUUAAUGGGCUUCUGCCGAGGCCAGCCUCUAAAGGGGCCACCCCUUUCUCUUCUCUGUGAACAAUUCAAACCACAUUUGAAAGGAACAUUUAAAAAUAGGGUUAUACAAUGAUUUCCUCAAAUCUGCAGUGCUUGGUGAAGAAGCAUAAAAGAAACCUCUGGUAGUAAAGUGGGAAAUAACGCCUCUGAGUGAAGACGGAAAAAGAGGUCCUGAUUAUUAGGUGAAUUUGUAGCUGUCCCUCAGACCUUCUCUGGAUGACGCAACACAACCAACUCUGAUGUCAACCCUGAGAAUUUUGCUGAAUGUUCCAGUCAUUCUUUACCACUGCAGUCUGAAGACCGGGAGUCUGCUGGAGUCUCUUGAAAUUAUUCUGCUGGUUGUGGGGAUCAGAGUGUCAGCUGGGGAACCUAGGUGUACUACUACUGUGGUGGGGAGAUCUGUGCUUGGCCCAGGCUUUUUGGGGGCCUCUGUGGAAUCCCCUCAUGGCCAUGGGCCCUGAUGGAGAGAAAGACAGCUAGGAUGGGUAGGACUCCUGGGCUGCACAGGGACAAACUGCCUCUUGAGGAGAGCAGGACAGACCCCUCUGGAUUUGCUCACUCUCAAUAUCAAAGCAGGCCCAGAGACUUCAUUUACUUUUUAUUGCUCUGGCUGUUCUCUUCAUACAGCUUGACACAAAAGGCACCUCCUCAGCAAGUAGGAGGUGGCACAGUGUACUAAUAAUCCAGAACCUGGUCCUAGUUCGUCUGGAAGAUCUGCCAUUUAUAUGCUGGCUGACAGUUACUUAGCUUCUCUGAGCCUUGGCUUCCCCAUCUAUAAAAUCAAUUAUUCAGGGUAUCUAUUAUUGCUGCUUGGGAAAUGACCACACAAAUCUCAGUGGCAGCCAACAAUAAUUUCUCACUUACGUACUGCUAGUCAACUAGGGGAGGGCCUUUCUAGAUUGCUGAAGAGUGAGCCUCCGAC
Long non-coding RNA from Vulpes vulpes (red fox), 1605 nucleotides. NCBI's taxonomy places the organism in Eukaryota, Metazoa, Chordata, Mammalia, Carnivora, Canidae. The record is from Ensembl.